This is a long non-coding RNA of Onychostoma macrolepis, 4112 nucleotides long. RefSeq lists it as uncharacterized. NCBI's taxonomy places the organism in Eukaryota, Metazoa, Chordata, Actinopteri, Cypriniformes, Cyprinidae. The transcript is spliced from 3 exons. The record is from RefSeq and is a predicted model, not a curated record.
GUACAAAGAUGUGUGCACAUUCACAUAAGGAGAGCGCGUGAUUGUGUCUCACACACACACACACACACACGGUCUCUCGUAUAAUACUCAAACAGUGGCAAAGACACCUGAGCCAGCAGUUUGUUUCUUUUUUAAAUGACGUGAUUUUGAACAGAUGUAAACAAUGGCAGGAGGCUUAAAAUUAUAGACGUGAAACCAGCUAAAUUUAUUGUACUAAAUCGCAGAAAUGUAGUACUUUAGUCUGCUAUUCCCCGCUCUGUGAAGUAACGUGAGGGAGGAAACUAGUUGGCGUUAGCUAGUUAAUUAGCCAUGUUAUCUGCCUCGGUAGCAAGCCAAAUAGUAUUUAUUUCAACACUGAAACAACCGGCGAAUGGGUCUCUGUCUUGAUUGAGGGUGAAAGAGGGAGAAAUGAAGACGACACAGAUAUAUCGUUUGUGUACGACCUGGAAGUAUUUAUUUAGCGAUCGGCGCCAAAACGGCAUCUGUACGGAACAUCGUUGUGUACGGGACAUGAUUGGUCUACGUUACCCGAGAAAUUCCCAUACGGCAGACUUCGCCUUUUUCGACGGGGGAAAAAGUUCCAGGGAUUCACCUCAUUCGGCCAUCAUCCUACACACAGGUUACUCUCACUGACCGCUAUCCGGAGGAGGAGGGGUUGUGUGACUCGUUACGCUCUUCACUGCUCACAACUGAGGGAGUCCUGCACUUUCCGUAUUUGACGACACGUAAAAAAACUGUGCAUACCGCAGGAACGGUAUAACGGAAAUUUUUUUGUGGUUUUGAAUUUUCCAAACCGUGGUAUACCUUGAAACCGGUUAUCGUCCCAUGCCUAAUCACUGUGCUACGCAAGGGUCAAACUGUGCGGGGACUCCAACGCACCUGAAAGAUGGGAUAAUUGUCGGGCUCCGGGCCAAACAUUCAGCCCUCUAAUACCCACGAGGGUCCGCUGCGGCGCCACGCAUUGCGAAACAUCACUCUUCUGUUCUAACGAGGAGUCAUGGAGAGAGCAGUGCCCAGGGCACCAUCAAGGUUAAUCUGUUAAACACAGGGUGACAAAGCUGCACCAUCAAAUGAGGGGGUUUGCGCAUGUCUAAGAGGUGUUUUUUGGAAGAAAAGAAGAGGUUACUGUUGACAGCUUUGCUUGAGAUUUUAAGGGUUGCCAUCCACCCUAAGGGAUCAUUCAUAUAGAUAAAACUCAGUUACAUCUAACAAAAAUAGCAUUGCAGUGUUGAAUGUUUCUACUGCAGGCCUACUGCGGUUGCAAAUAGUUUUAUAAUUGAGAUGCGUUUCACCCAAGGCAAACACGCUUUCAAAGCAGGUUACUAGUUUAGAUGAGAGUUCAGUAACGCUUAAAGAUUUCAUCUUGAAUCGUGUUUUCAUAUUCAAAUUUCAAAUUACUCUGAUCUUGAGAUUACAAUUUAAGAGUUAGAUGCUGCUUUGUGAAUGAUUAACAUUUAGUGUAUAGCAAAAAAGAGUUUGUUUUCCAUAGAACAAUUAUAAAUUGUUGCACAGUCAAUUUCAAAGAAAUAUUCAGAGUUUGAAACAAGUUAGGCUCAAAUAACAGCAUCUAUGGCAUCAUGUUGAUUACCAAAAAAAAAAAAUAAUAAUUUACUCCGAAUACUGAAACCUGAUUUGUUAACGUUCAUGUAACUGCACGAACAAAUGGCAUGUCAGCCCACCAAAACAGACAGACAGGGCUGACUGACUACUGUAUAUAAGUCAAGGCUAAAUGCCAUUUCAUCAGAAUCUUUCCCUUUCAGUGCGAAGAUCAUCUCCUCGCUGGAAUCUGAAGAAUAAUGAAGAAGCCUGCUUAUUUGCCAUAUGUGCACUCUUCUGAUUUGGCAUCCCAACCUGAGUUGUAGAGGCUUCAUGUUUGACCCCUCGACGGGACUCUUUACAGCUCCCCAUGAGGGUAGCUAAUACCAUUAUCUGCAUUUGCUCAUUACUGUCAAUAAAGACCCUGUUUGCUUCUUCAGUCUGUGUCCGUGUUCACAUUCUGUAACAAGAAGACAUAAAUACAUGUGUGUUAAGAUUUUUGUAUGAAAAUUGAAUGGAAUGAACAUUUUACUUUGAUGCCAUGACAAUGUAAACUUUAUAUGCUCCAAAAAAAAAAAAAGUUUUAAAAGAAACAAAAAAAUAAUAAUAAUAAUGUAAUAAUACUGUAGCAGUUCAAUGAAGGGUUGGAAUGCAUGAUGAGAAUGAUAAUUGAACUUUCCUUUAUUGCAGGUUCAGGAGAUUGUGCACGGUGGAGCAGAUGGAUGCCCAGAGAGGAGUGAAUGGAGUGAAUUAUUGGAGUGCGUUGAGAAUGAAGGACAUUCUGAAAACCUUUUGGACACCCCAGCGGAGUGGCUUCAGAGCCAUUGGAGGAGGUGGGCUGAUUCUGAGACCACUGGAUGGGGUGGAAGGCAAGAUGGGCUCAGGCCCUUCAUUAGCUUCCUUGGGAACAAGGAGACAGGCAAGAGCGUCCGCCUUGUAGUUCUUGGCACCUGGAUGAUAGGAGAUGGAGAAAUUGAAGCAGUUCUUUUUCAGGAUGAGUUUCUUGGACAAGAAGGCACAUGAAUGGAGUUUAGGAGGAUUCCCUUGCUGCUAAAACAGCACUACUAGGAGCAGUGCGCUGAUGAAGGUGGUCUUGAGCUUCUGGAAGGCUUCUGUUGCACCUGAAGUCUAGGACAGAGACUUGGGCUUGUUCAUGAACAGAUUUGUCAAUGGACUGUUGAUGGAGCUGUAGUUCUGAAUGAAAUGCUGGUAGAAGUUUGCGAACCCUAGGAAGAAUUGUUGGAAGGUGUGGGCCAAUUCUUGACAACUUCCACCUUUCCCUCGUCCAUAUGGAUACCGUGUUUACUGAUGUUAUAUCCCAGGGAACUGCACUGAGGAAUGAUAUAAAGAGCAAUUUUCAGCUUUAAGGAACAGUUGGAAUUCUCACAGGGAUUUUUUAGAUCUACCUCUAAACAAUCAGUGAGGUGUAAGCUGAUUGUACCAAAAGGUAUGCAUGAGAUUAUUUGAAUUGAUAUGAAUCAGCAGCCAAUUCCUCAAAACAUAAAAUAGUUACUAAUUGCAAUAAGAAUUUAUUUUUCAAAUUACAACCACUUAGUGUUCAGUGUUCACUGUGAAAGAAUUUAACAGCAACAAUAAAACCAAAGACAUUAAAUACACUAAUAUAUUUGAUUCUCAUAUAGCAUAUAGAUAUAGAAAUAAGACUUGCAUAAUUAGUGGCUACGUUUACAUGCACACUUUUUGGUUCAAUCGGACUGAAUUCAUUCCGAUUGAUGAAUCUGAAUGUAGUGUUUACAUGAACACUAAAUAAAGUGAUCGGGUUGAUGUGCGCGUUUGUAUGUCAAGCUUCCAAUCGGAAUUUUUAUUUAUUUUUUUUUUUUUGACAUGCGCACACUACACAAAUAUGGAGUUACUAUUUGCACAUAAUAAUCACUCUCCUACACUGUUUCUUUAUUUGUUUUUAACAGUGGAAUUAAUAUUUAUCCACUUCUGGAUAAAUAUAACUGCAGUGCCGUGCUGCUCAUAUCGUGCAAUAAAAAUGAGCACAAAAUGAGUUGCCUGUGGUUGAAAAUCCGAAAAAAAGGACUGGUGGGAGGUUGUCCUGCUCCACUUCACAGAUGCCGAGUGAAAGGAGAGUUUUAUAAUGACAAGACACGCAUUUAUACAACACUUUAUUUAAAGGGAAGAACUGCUCGUUCAGCGCGUCAUACGUCAUGACGCUAUUUCUGCGUUAUUGCACAUGCGCAGUCCUUUCAGUUUCGGUUUUCAAUCCGAUCGAGUGUUUACAUGCACGCUCAAUCGGAUUAGAAAAGGAAUAAACCACCCCCUUCAAUCCGAUCGAAAUUUCAUUCCGAUCGAGCUCAGUCGGAUCGAUUAAGAUGUUUACAUGAAGCCUUUUCAGUCCGAUUGAACCGUCAAUCCGAAUACAAACGGAUUAUUUGGUUGCAUGGCAAUGUAGCCAGUGUCUCUGAUACAGAUUAUUUGCAAUCGUGGGAGAAAAAAAAAGAGAAAGAUGUCAUUAAGACAUUCAUAAUAAAUCUAACGAACUUGAGCAUAGACAGCAUGCAAAAGUCCAAAAUCCAACUGUCAAUUUAUUUUAUUUUGCUGAGAAUUUUAAG